This 27-nucleotide small RNA is filed under the name Bombyx mori (domestic silkworm). Its description in RNAcentral is "ovarian small RNA-14373". The record is from RNAcentral. Lineage: Eukaryota; Metazoa; Arthropoda; Insecta; Lepidoptera; Bombycidae.
CGCCUGUUUAUUCGGAGUUACUUCGUC